This 374-nucleotide ribosomal RNA is filed under the name uncultured organism. RNAcentral's name for it is "partial 16S ribosomal RNA". It matches the Rfam family "Bacterial small subunit ribosomal RNA", at positions 527 to 896 of the family's 1533-position model. The record is from RNAcentral.
GGGGGGAGCAAGCGUUUGUUCGGAAUUACUGGGCGUAAAGGGCGCGUAGGCGGCCUAGUAAGUCGAGUGUGAAAUGCCGGGGCUUAACCCCGUGCACUGCAUUCGAUACUGCCUGGCUAGAGAAAGGUAGAGGCGAGCGGAAUUCCCGGUGUAGCGGUGGAAUGCGUAGAUAUCGGGAAGAACACCUGUGGCGAAGGCGGCUCGCUGGGCCUUAUCUGACGCUGAAGCGCGAAAGCGUGGGGAGCAAACAGGAUUAGAUACCCUGGUAGUCCACGCCGUAAACGCUGGGUACUAGGUGUCGGGAGGCUUGGCCCCUCUCGGUGUCGACGCUAACGCAUUAAGUACCCCGCCUGGGGAGUACGGUCGCAAGGCUG